UGGGGAAUAUUGGACAAUGGGGGAAACCCUGAUCCAGCCAUGCCGCGUGUGUGAAGAAGGUCUUAGGAUUGUAAAGCACUUUAAGUUGGGAGGAAGGGCAGUUAACUAAUACUUGACUGUUUUGACGUUACCGACAGAAUAAGCACCGGCUAACUUCGUGCCAGCAGCCGCGGUAAUACGUAGGGGGCAAGCGUUGUCCGGAAUGAUUGGGCGUAAAGGGCGCGUAGGCGGCCAACUAAGUUUGGAGUGAAAGUCCUGCUUUUAAGGUGGGAAUUGCUUUGAAAACUGGAUGGCUUGAGUGUAGGAGAGGUUAGUGGAAUUCCCGGUGUAGCGGUGAAAUGCGUAGAGAUCGGGAGGAACACCAGUGGCGAAGGCGACUAACUGGACUAUUACUGACGCUGAGGCGCGAAAGUGUGGGGAGCGAACAGG
Molecule: ribosomal RNA, 429 nt
Filed under: uncultured prokaryote
Description: bacterial SSU rRNA
Rfam family: Bacterial small subunit ribosomal RNA
Source: RNAcentral